Molecule: long non-coding RNA, 437 nt
Organism: Diospyros lotus (date-plum)
Lineage: Eukaryota; Viridiplantae; Streptophyta; Magnoliopsida; Ericales; Ebenaceae
Exons: 2
Source: RefSeq, a predicted model, not a curated record
AAAUCAUAUAUUAAGCAAUAGCAAUAAUUGACCAAGAAAGCUUAGCAUCAUGAUUGAGAAUGCUUGAUAUGAAGAAGAGAUCAUGUUCUAUUUAUAGCAGGAAUGUCUCAAAAGAGUCCGUUGGCUACAAGAGAGGCUCCCGAGAAUAAAGAAUCUUUGUGACCAUGUGGUCACAUAUAAUUGAGAGGCCACUCAGUCAUGACCGAGCAGUAGUGGAAGAUUAAUUGGCAUUAUAUAAUGCAAGGCGAAUUUGGAAGAUUCAAUAGACAGCAAGUGAAGUUGGUGGAUUAAAUUGAAUUGUAUAAUACAAGUGCACUUGGUGAAUUAAUUAAGGGAAAUGGAGUUGGCAAGUGCACUUGGUGACUUAUAUAGUGGAGUCAGUGAACUGCUUGUAUGAUGAUAUCAACACUUGCAUUACACAUGGAUUAUUAAAUCAA